CUUAAUAUUUGUGUAAUUUUUUUUUAGAAAAACCUAAUUGAGAAGGUUCGUCUUCUUCGUAGCAUGUAUUCCUUGACCUUGUUAUGGCCAACGAGGGCACAUAUGUCUGAGAUGUCACUGAGUGGUUCUGUAGCAAUAACAAAGUGCUUUCAUUACCGCAGCCUGUUUUCUCUGAAAGUAAAAAUGGAAGGAUCAAAGUAUUUCCUCAAGCAAUCCAUCAGGUAAUGGAUUAGUGAUAAUGAUGGCGGACACGGAAUAUUAGUGAGUAUAAA
This 272-nucleotide long non-coding RNA is filed under the name Rattus norvegicus (Norway rat). RNAcentral describes it as "long non-coding RNA NONRATT033183". The record is from RNAcentral. Lineage: Eukaryota; Metazoa; Chordata; Mammalia; Rodentia; Muridae.